UUUUAAAUCCAGAAAUAAGAGUUGUUGUUUUUUUAAAUCAAAUUUUCUUCCUACGCCAUACUGCCACCAACUCCAAAAGACUCCAUAGGCUCUGGAGACAUGGGUGGUGUUGAUGAUGUACGACAGCAUUACCAUUCGUUAUCAACAUGAUGCUCCAGACCAAGUGGACAGAACCCAGCUCUGACUGUAAACCCAUCAGCCCUGUACAGGAACCCCCAAAACGCAUUCCGCAUCGUACGGAGACCGGACCUCCUCUGAGGCGGUCAAAGUUCAACCAGCAUGCUUAUCGACCCCAAAACCCCCUGUACCCUGUGUGAUAAGAGGAGAUCCACAGGCCCACAGAGCGUUUAGCUCAUAAGGACAACAACAACCAGCAUCCCACUGGUUUCUGGAAGACUCUCCUCUGCAGUAACGCCGUCUGUAUGUACUGUGAGUGUACAAAUGCUGAUGGGUCUUUUUCGUUUGAGUAUGUUUUUUUAAAACAAAUAGGAGUUAGUUGAACCGAACUUUAAUGGCAAGAUAGAUGGCCAACUGAACAUCCGUCCAAGUCCCUUUACCCCUGUCACCAUCAUUUACCCUGCUACCAAAUCCUCUAUCUCUACCGUAAGAGGGUGUGUACUCUACCGUCUGUAUUGUAGCCGUAGUUGCCGUGGCUACGCUGCUCUUAACGUACAAAUACCAUAAUAUACUGGAGACUAGAUUCUAGAGUCUGCCAAGCUGGGGACUGAGGCUGGCGGCAGGAGUGAAAACACUCCAUUAUAUAACCUCUGUUUGUAUCGCUUUAGGGGGACCGGAUCAAGGGUGUGUGUAAAACUUGCAUGCAUCGUAUCACAUGUCAGAAGAAGUGUUUUCAAGGUCCAUCUUUGUUUGUUUUUGUCCGUGCCAAUGGAUCAGGCCUCGCUGGAGACGGCCAGCGGCGAAAUGCUAGCGAACUUAGUUUUCUACCCAACUAUGUACCAGCAACGUCUUUCCAAAUGAGAAUAAGAGAAAGCCUUUGUAGUGCCAAAAGAUCCCGUUGUUUUAAGUGAUUCAUCGGUUAAUGCUUUACAGCGGGGGCCAUCCAAGCCCUCGAACUGAAGUAAAGAGCCUGUGGAGACGUGCUCACGUAACUGGAAGCUUGUGAACCAGCAGCAGGUACGAAAGCAGGACAGUAGCAGGCUCGGGAGAGAGACAGCUCUGUAAAAUAUAUAGUGACUUGUCGAAAAGUUGUCUUCUUUUUUUUCUUGUCAAGAAGGAAAUAUCUGAACUGCUUGCAUGGUCAAAAGAGGAUAUAAACAUCAAAGACUAUGUGUGUUACAGUACCAGGUAGAUCUUUGGUAAGAUUGGAUUGUCCUGUACCAAACUUAACCCAUUUAUGAAAGGAUUAGAUAAGAGGGAACCUUCAUGUUCUCAUCCUAGCUGGAUGACAGCAUACUGUAGAUUCUUUCUGCUCGGUUGAGUGACCACCACCAUUCUGUUUUCUUUGUUGGCUCACUGUUUACAUCAAGUACUUGAAACUAGGUCGCAUUACAAGGUGAACAGUAUGAGGAAAUGACUUAUGGAGGGAGAGAGCAUAACACCAAUGUUAAUGGAUGUGCUUGUUUCGUCUGUGGCUUUAGAGCACCAAGCUAACCAACCAACCAUCGAAACCACUGAGUGCUCCUGACUCGUCUUCACGUCAACACUAAUCCGCCGCCUCUGUUGGCACCGUUUUGUUGAAAUUGGCCCGGUCCUUUUGCCACGGUGUGUAAAGACCUGUUGAGAAGGAUAGGGAAGGUGAGGAGGUCAUGGCCUGUUGCUGUACGGGAAGGCAGUGCUUCAGCCGUCUCGCCAGAGCUGUUUGAAGAGUAGGUGCUCAGUCAGAAAUGAGAACGAGAGAGAGAGAGAAACCCUUUUAGCUCUAGUUUCCUGCUCCCGGGCUUUGAAGCAGUGCUUUGAUCUGAGUGUAGUCGUGUGCAGAGUGUGAUCGGAAGAUGAGAAAACACAUCAAAAACAGGCAUAGAGAAAGGAAAGGCGAUCACAUGAUUGACAUGGUGUUAAUGCGUCCUGCCAGGAUGUCUGGCUGUUGGCCCCCUGCUACACAAAUAUCUAUAGGUCCACUUUAAAUACAGACACACGCUCAAACACCAAUGUGAAGCAUCCGCCGUUGAACAAUGGUGUCCUCCCUUCUAUUCUCUUCCUCUCAUCCAAGAGAACCAAGCCCCUUCUCAUGCCUCAUAUUUGCUUGUCUGUGUUCUGGUGUCUUUUAUAUUCCAUGUGAUGAAACCUCCUAUACUAUGUGUUCCACUCUGUUCUCCGUUUGGCUUGAUAGGGAUGAGGUAAAUGAAAUAGAGAGGCGUAGUUUGACUGAAACAAAGUUAGUUUUUUUCUCUUGAGGGACCAUUGCUUAAUGUACUGUUUUUGACUUGUCUUUAUUUUUCAUAAACUGCCAUUCGCUGUUUAUUUCAUUUAACCAUCGAAUCCAACCUCGUCUUCUGGCCAGCAUGCUAUAGCACCAUGACCGUGCUCGUUUCUACAUGAUGAUUAUUAUAUCUGAUUAGAAGUCUUAACUCACUGCUGUCUGCACCUUCCGUUUUGUGAAAGAGAUUUGAAUGAAUUGUAAACAGAUUGAUUUCAUACUGUACACUUUGGAGAUGAUGACGACAGAAACGACAAGGUGGAAGUUAUCAUUACGUUUUGUUUACCAUUCUGCAGCUCAGAAUUGAAUCUCACAGCCAGUUAGUUGUGUCUCUGAGACAUAUUGCAGUUGAUGCACGUCGAGGAUGAUCAAAAUGGCAACUUCCAUUUCCGCGACAGAAGAGGUGGAGCCUAAUUGAAGAAGAUACAGUAUGCUGUGCACUUUUUUUUUUACUCUUGACUUUAGGUGGUGGCGAAGUGAUGGGUCUACUGGCAUGCUUCAUUACUUACAGGAAAACAAGACAAUAAUUCACCUUUUUCCUUUUCUCAUGUCACCAGUCGGGGGAAACGAAAAGUCAACUAUUAUUCUCAAGGCAGAAGUAUCAAUAUGAAAUGAAUAACAUUCUUCCAUUCUAAACACAACACAAUGUAGACAACCCUUUGUAGACACUGGAGUUCUGUAAUUUGGUAUAUACAAAUGAUGAUAAUAAUAAUAAUGGCUGUCUGUUCUUGUUGUUUUAUAAAAGUGCUGUGAAAAUUCUAAGAAAGUUUAAAGUAUUUAAAGUUGUUCUCGUUUUUUUUGUUGUUUUUUUUUGCUUAGGUUUUGUUAUGAUAAUAUAUUAUUGUGUACCUAUUGUAAAUAUGAAGCACCUAUUUUGCAAGCCAGGAAUUCACUUUUUACUGUUGUUAUAUAUAAAUAAACUUUGCUGGUUAAAAAAAACGCAUAGAGCUGAAA
Molecule: long non-coding RNA, 3331 nt
Organism: Oncorhynchus gorbuscha (pink salmon)
Lineage: Eukaryota; Metazoa; Chordata; Actinopteri; Salmoniformes; Salmonidae
Exons: 2
Source: RefSeq, a predicted model, not a curated record